RNAcentral lists this ribosomal RNA (250 nucleotides) under uncultured prokaryote. RNAcentral's name for it is "partial 16S ribosomal RNA". It matches the Rfam family "Bacterial small subunit ribosomal RNA", at positions 524 to 773 of the family's 1533-position model. The record is from RNAcentral.
UACGUAGGGGGCAAGCGUUAUCCGGAUUUACUGGGUGUAAAGGGAGCGUAGACGGUUUUUUAAGUCUGAUGUGAAAGCUGGGGGCUCAACCCCCAAACUGCAUUGGAAACUGGGGAACUAGAGUGUCGGUGAGGUAAGUGGAAUUCCUAGUGUAGCGGUGAAAUGCGUAGAUAUUAGGAGGAACACCGGUGGCGAAGGCGGCUUACAGGACGAUGACUGACGUUGAGGCUCGAAAGCGUGGGGAGCAAAC